RNAcentral lists this ribosomal RNA (247 nucleotides) under uncultured bacterium. RNAcentral describes it as "partial 16S ribosomal RNA". It matches the Rfam family "Bacterial small subunit ribosomal RNA", at positions 523 to 769 of the family's 1533-position model. The record is from RNAcentral.
ACACGUAGGAGGCAAACGUUAUCCGGAUUUACUGGGCGUAAAGCGCGUGUAGGCGGUUCUGUAAGUAGGGCGUGAAAGCUCCCGGCUCAACUGGGAGAGGCCGUUCUAAACUACAGAACUAGAGGAUGGUAGAGGGAGGUGGAAUUCCAGGUGUAGCGGUGGAAUGCGCAGAUAUCUGGAGGAACACCAGUGGCGAAGGCGGCCUCCUGGACCAUUCCUGACACUCAGACGCGAAAGCUAGGGUAGC